AAGGUAUGAUUCUAGCUCAGUUUUUGAUGAUUUCUAUGUUUUUGUGAUCGUUGCUCUGAGUACUAGCUAACCCGUACCCUAACUUCUGAAAUUUUUGAUGAUUUUGUGAAGUGAUAUUGUUGGAUUUAUGAGCUUUGUGAUGUUUAAUGAUAGAUUAUGAAGGUUUAAUGAUAGAUAUACAAGUUUUGUUAACUGAUUUUGAUGAAAAUGUCAAUUAGGGAUUAAAUUGAGAAAAAUAUAAAAUGUUGUGGUUAAAAGUGUGAAAUAAAUGAAAAUAUGGGUUGGUAGGGACCUAUAUAGAAAUUGGUCAAGCAUGGG
Molecule: long non-coding RNA, 318 nt
Filed under: Gossypium barbadense (sea-island cotton)
Lineage: Eukaryota; Viridiplantae; Streptophyta; Magnoliopsida; Malvales; Malvaceae
Description: long non-coding RNA (GBAR_LNC012345)
Source: RNAcentral